This 334-nucleotide unclassified non-coding RNA is filed under the name soil metagenome. RNAcentral describes it as "partial contains 5.8S ribosomal RNA, internal transcribed spacer 2, and large subunit ribosomal RNA". The stretch from base 1 to 120 matches the Rfam family "5.8S ribosomal RNA", at positions 35 to 154 of the family's 154-position model. The record is from RNAcentral.
GAUGAAGAACGUAGCGAAUUGCGAUAUGUAAUGUGAAUUGCAGAAUUCAGUGAAUCAUCGAAUCUUUGAACGCACAUUGCGCCCGCCAGUAUUCUGGCGGGCAUGCCUGUUCGAGCGUCAUUUCAACCAUCAAGCCCCCGGCUUGUGUUGGGGACCUGCGGCUGCCGCAGGCCCUGAAAACCAGUGGCGGGCUCGCUAGUCACUCCGAGCGUAGUAAUACAUCUCGCUCAGGGCGUGCUGCGGGUUCCGGCCGUUAAAAAGCCUUAUUUACCCAAGGUUGACCUCGGAUCAGGUAGGAAGACCCGCUGAACUUAAGCAUAUCAAAAGCGGAGGA